AAUUUUAAGUUAUAUAAACUAUUAGCCUUCCAAGCUUAAAAAAAGAUACCUUAAAUUCAA
This 60-nucleotide transfer RNA is filed under the name Parhyale hawaiensis. Its description in RNAcentral is "tRNA-Trp". Lineage: Eukaryota; Metazoa; Arthropoda; Malacostraca; Amphipoda; Hyalidae. The record is from RNAcentral.